AGGAUUUUAAAUCUUCUGUCCUUCUGGUGAAAGAGGCAUUUUUUCAGAAUGGACUUCGUCCUUAACAAAUCAAAGGGGAUUGAAGAUGAGCUCAUUAUCAAACUUAAAUCUGCUAUAAUAGAAGUUGCUGUAUGUGCCCUUAACAAAUUGAAGGUUGUAUGAACUUCAAUUGUCAAGGCAAAUUUCCAUUGAAAGUUUGCAUAAAGAUCUUGCAGAGACUCUCAAAAACUUCAGAAGUAUUGAUGACGAGGUUUGUGUUGUUUUUUCAGAACAAUGGUGGCUGUUUCAGGAAAGCAACCCUUGCAUCCACAGAGCUAGAAGCUUUGGGGUACUCUCCAGAUGAAUCCAUUCUUCAAAAGUUCUGGAAACUUUGUUAACGCCAACUACAUAUUCCAGGUUGUAUGAACUUCAAUUGUCAAGGCAAAUUUCCAUUGAAAGUUUGCAUAAAGAUCUUGCAGAGACUCUCAAAAACUUCAGAAGUAUUGAUGACGAGGUUUGUGUUGUUUUUUCAGAACAAUGGUGGCUGUUUCAGGAAAGCAACCCU
This is a long non-coding RNA of Solanum verrucosum, 544 nucleotides long. RefSeq lists it as uncharacterized. The record is from RefSeq and is a predicted model, not a curated record. The transcript has 6 exons. Lineage: Eukaryota; Viridiplantae; Streptophyta; Magnoliopsida; Solanales; Solanaceae.